CGUAGGUGGCGAGCGUUGUCCGGAAUUAUUGGGCGUAAAGGGAGCGCAGGCGGGAGGUCAAGUCUAUCUUAAAAAGUGCGGGGCUCAACCCCGUGAGGGGAUGGAAACUGGUCUUCUUGAGUGCAGGAGAGGAAAGCGGAAUUCCUAGUGUAGCGGUGAAAUGCGUAGAUAUUAGGAGGAACACCAGUGGCGAAGGCGGCUUUCUGGACUGUAACUGACGCUGAGGCUCGAAAGCGUGGGGAGCGA
This 246-nucleotide ribosomal RNA is filed under the name uncultured bacterium. Its description in RNAcentral is "partial 16S ribosomal RNA". It matches the Rfam family "Bacterial small subunit ribosomal RNA", at positions 526 to 771 of the family's 1533-position model. The record is from RNAcentral.